UACGUAGGGGGCGAGCGUUGUCCGGAUUUAUUGGGCGUAAAGAGCUCGUAGGCGGUUCGGUAAGUCGGAUGUGAAAUCUCCACGCUCAACGUGGAGGGGCCAUUCGAUACUGCCGUGACUCGAGUCCGGUAGGGGAGUGUGGAAUUCCCGGUGUAGCGGUGAAAUGCGCAGAUAUCAGGAGGAACACCGGUGGCGAAGGCGGUGAUCUGGGCCGGCACUGACGCUCAUGCACGAAAGCGUGGGGAGCAAACAGG
Molecule: ribosomal RNA, 254 nt
Filed under: uncultured bacterium
Lineage: Bacteria
Description: partial 16S ribosomal RNA
Rfam family: Bacterial small subunit ribosomal RNA
Source: RNAcentral